This is a long non-coding RNA of Sarcophilus harrisii (Tasmanian devil), 453 nucleotides long. RefSeq lists it as uncharacterized. The transcript has 4 exons. NCBI's taxonomy places the organism in Eukaryota, Metazoa, Chordata, Mammalia, Dasyuromorphia, Dasyuridae. The record is from RefSeq and is a predicted model, not a curated record.
GAAACUCUCAAGGUGGGAGCCUAAUCUGACGGACGGAACGACGGACGCACCUCCUCCGGCUCUUCCCUACGGGACACUGGGCAGAUCCAGCAGUUGAGGAAGGAGGAAGAGGAUAAGAACUAUUACUAUCCCCAAUUUAUAGUUGAGGAAAAUAAUAACAAUGAUAAUAAUUAAAACUUAUUAAACACCUACUACUAUGUGCCAGUCACUGCUAAAUCUUUUACGGAUCUCAUUUAGUCUUCACCACAGCCUUGCAAGGUCUCUUUUGCCAUUUUACCUGACCACCAUAUAGGCUACAAACUUUCCACCAGUAGCUUCUGGGGUUGUACCUAGAAGCUAGGCAGCUUUUUUAAGUCCUGUCUUUUAAGAAUGCAUCAUCAUCUGAGUGAAAUGAGCAGGACCAGGAGAUCAUUAUAUACUUCAACAACAAUAUUCUGAUGGAUGUGCCCCUCU